This 240-nucleotide unclassified non-coding RNA is filed under the name soil metagenome. Its description in RNAcentral is "partial contains 5.8S ribosomal RNA, internal transcribed spacer 2, and large subunit ribosomal RNA". The record is from RNAcentral.
AACCUAGCACACCUGCGGUGUGUACCUGCGGAAGGAUCAUUACAGAGUUGCAAAACUCCCUAAACCAUUGUGAACGUUACCUAAACCGUUGCUUCGGCGGGCGGCCCGGGUCCUUCCCGGCGCCCCUCGGCCCUCGCGGGCGCCCGCCGGAGGUAAACCAAACUAUUGCAUUGUAUGGCCUCUCUGAGUCUUCUGUACUGAAUAAGUCAAAACUUUUAACAAUGGAUCUCAGAUCGGAAG